UACGGAGGGUGCAAGCGUUAUCCGGAUUCACUGGGUGUAAAGGGUGCGCAGGUGGGUUGGUAAGUCAGUGGUGAAAUCUCCGAGCUUAACUUGGAAACUGCCAUUGAUACUAUUAGUCUUGAAUAUUGUGGAGGUCAGCGGAAUAUGUCAUGUAGCGGUGAAAUGCUUAGAGAUGACAUAGAACACCAAUUGCGAAGGCAGCUGGCUACACAUAUAUUGACACUGAGGCACGAAAGCGUGGGGAUCAAACAGG
Molecule: ribosomal RNA, 253 nt
Filed under: uncultured bacterium
Lineage: Bacteria
Description: partial 16S ribosomal RNA
Rfam family: Bacterial small subunit ribosomal RNA
Source: RNAcentral